This 240-nucleotide ribosomal RNA is filed under the name Acanthamoeba sp. AG-2012. Its description in RNAcentral is "partial 18S ribosomal RNA". It matches the Rfam family "Eukaryotic small subunit ribosomal RNA", at positions 938 to 1096 of the family's 1831-position model. The record is from RNAcentral. Lineage: Eukaryota; Discosea; Longamoebia; Acanthamoebidae.
ACUUCUGCGAGGCAUCUGCCAGGAUGUUUUCAUUAAUCAAGAACGAAAGUUAGGGGAUCGAAGAGAUCAGAUACCGUCGUAGUCUUAACCAUAAACGAUGCCGACCAGCGGUUAGGAGACGUUGAAUACAAAACACCACCAUCGGCGCGGUCGUCCCUGGCUCGUCGUCUCACGACGGCGGGCGGGGGCGGUUUAGCCCGAUGGCACCGGUGAAUGACUCCCUAGCAGACUUGUCGAGAA